GCACAAGCGGUGGAGCAUGUGGUUUAAUUCGACGCAACGCGAAGAACCUUACCUGGGCUUGACAUCUGGGGAAUCUCAUGGAACAUGGGAGUGCGGAGCAAUCUGAACCCCAGACAGGUGCUGCAUGGCUGUCGUCAGCUCGUGUCGUGAGAUGUUGGGUUAAGUCCCGCAACGAGCGCAACCCUUGUCUCUAGUUGCCACCAUUCAGUUGGGCACUCUAGAGAGACUGCCGGUGAUAACCGGAGGAAGUGGGGACGACGUCAAGUCCUCAUGGCCUUUAUGCCCAGGGCUACACACGUGCUACAAUGGAUCGUACAAAGGGUCGCGAACCCGCGAGGGGGAGCCAAUCCCAAAACCGGUCCUCAGUUCGGAUUGGAGUCUGCAACUCGACUCCAUGAAGUUGGAAUCGCUAGUAAUCGUGGAUCAGCAUGUCACGGUGAAUACGUUCCCGGGUCUU
Molecule: ribosomal RNA, 457 nt
Filed under: uncultured Desulfobacca sp.
Lineage: Bacteria; Pseudomonadati; Thermodesulfobacteriota; Desulfobaccia; Desulfobaccales; Desulfobaccaceae
Description: bacterial SSU rRNA
Rfam family: Bacterial small subunit ribosomal RNA
Source: RNAcentral